RNAcentral lists this ribosomal RNA (497 nucleotides) under uncultured soil bacterium. RNAcentral describes it as "bacterial SSU rRNA". It matches the Rfam family "Bacterial small subunit ribosomal RNA", at positions 26 to 517 of the family's 1533-position model. The record is from RNAcentral.
AGAUUGAACGCUGGCGGCAUGCUUUACACAUGCAAGUCGAACGGUAACAGGCCGCAAGGUGCUGACGAGUGGCGAACGGGUGAGUAAUGCAUCGGAACGUGCCCAGUCGUGGGGGAUAACGCAGCGAAAGCUGUGCUAAUACCGCAUACGAUCUAUGGAUGAAAGCGGGGGACCGAAAGGCCUCGCGCGAUUGGAGCGGCCGAUGUCAGAUUAGCUAGUUGGUGGGGUAAAGGCCCACCAAGGCGACGAUCUGUAGCUGGUCUGAGAGGACGACCAGCCGACACUGGAACUGAGACACGGUCCAGACUCCUACGGGAGGCAGCAGUGGGGAAUUUUGGACAAUGGGCGCAAGCCUGAUCCAGCAAUGCCGCGUGCAGGAAGAAGGCCUUCGGUUGUAAACGUGCUUUUGUACGAACGAACGGUCGUGGUAAUACCGUCGGUCUAGUGAACGGUACCGUAAGAAUAAGACACCGCUAAACGUACGUGCCUAGCAGCCG